RNAcentral lists this transfer RNA (77 nucleotides) under Pelagicoccus albus. RNAcentral describes it as "tRNA-Val". It matches the Rfam family "tRNA". From Rfam's summary of the family: Transfer RNA (tRNA) molecules are approximately 80 nucleotides in length. Their secondary structure includes four short double-helical elements and three loops (D, anti-codon, and T loops). Further hydrogen bonds mediate the characteristic L-shaped molecular structure. tRNAs have two regions of fundamental functional importance: the anti-codon, which is responsible for specific mRNA codon recognition, and the 3' end, to which the tRNAs corresponding amino acid is attached (by aminoacyl-tRNA synthetases). tRNAs cope with the degeneracy of the genetic code in two manners: having more than one tRNA (with a specific anti-codon) for a particular amino acid; and 'wobble' base-pairing, i.e. permitting non-standard base-pairing at the 3rd anti-codon position. RNAcentral also lists the same sequence under 2 other names. Lineage: Bacteria; Pseudomonadati; Verrucomicrobiota; Opitutia; Puniceicoccales; Pelagicoccaceae. The record is from RNAcentral.
GGGGGAUUAGCUCAGUUGGUUAGAGCGCUACCUUGACAUGGUAGAGGUCCCGAGUUCGAAUCUCGGAUCUCCCACCA